UAGGGAAUCUUCGGCAAUGGGGGCAACCCUGACCGAGCAACGCCGCGUGAGUGAAGAAGGUUUUCGGAUCGUAAAGCUCUGUUGUAAGAGAAGAAUGACAUUGAGAGUAACUGUUCAAUGUGUGACGGUAUCUUACCAGAAAGGAACGGCUAAAUACGUGCUAG
RNAcentral lists this ribosomal RNA (164 nucleotides) under uncultured bacterium. RNAcentral describes it as "partial 16S rRNA". It matches the Rfam family "Bacterial small subunit ribosomal RNA", at positions 355 to 511 of the family's 1533-position model. The record is from RNAcentral.